This 515-nucleotide ribosomal RNA is filed under the name uncultured bacterium. Its description in RNAcentral is "partial 16S ribosomal RNA". It matches the Rfam family "Bacterial small subunit ribosomal RNA", at positions 28 to 523 of the family's 1533-position model. The record is from RNAcentral.
GAUGAACGCUGGCGGCGUGCCUAAUACAUGCAAGUCGAGCGAAUGGAUUAAGAGCUUGCUCUUAUGAAGUUAGCGGCGGACGGGUGAGUAACACGUGGGUAACCUGCCCAUAAGACUGGGAUAACUCCGGGAAACCGGGGCUAAUACCGGGUAACAUUUUGAACCGCAUGGUUCGACAUUGAAAGGCGGCUUCGGCUGUCACUUAUGGAUGGACCCGCGUCGCAUUAGCUAGUUGGUGAGGUAACGGCUCACCAAGGCAACGAUGCGUAGCCGACCUGAGAGGGUGAUGGGCCACACUGGGACUGGGGCACGGCCCAGACGCCUACGGGGGGCAGCAGUAGGGAAUCUUCCGCAAUGGACGAAAGUCUGACGGAGCAACGCCGCGUGAGUGAUGAAGGCUUUCGGGUCGUAAAACUCUGUUGUUAGGGAAGAACAAGUGCUAGUUGAAUAAGCUGGCACCUUGACGGUACCUAACCAGAAAGCCACGGCUAACUACGUGCCAGCCGCCGCCGUAA